GGGUGCUAGCUGCAGAGUGCAGUGAAGCAGGUUAAUCGAACAUCGCCGGUCGGGCCGCCAGCG
RNAcentral lists this non-coding RNA (63 nucleotides) under unclassified sequences. RNAcentral's name for it is "Li+-I sequence". It matches the Rfam family "nhaA-I RNA". Rfam says of the family: Acidobacteria, Alphaproteobacteria, Betaproteobacteria and Gammaproteobacteria, Verrucomicrobia, cand. division NC10. Downstream gene The record is from Rfam by way of RNAcentral.